UCGAUGGCCGCCGUGACCUCCCCGGGAUCGGCUGGCUAUUUGACCACACCCUUACUUUACGCGUACCUUUUGUUCUCCUUCGGCGGGGCAACCCGCCGCUGGAACGUAACAGAACCUUUUGUAUCUAGUAUUACCUGUUCCGAUAACCAUAAUCGUUA
Molecule: unclassified non-coding RNA, 158 nt
Filed under: uncultured Ascomycota
Lineage: Eukaryota; Fungi; Ascomycota
Description: sequence contains ITS1
Source: RNAcentral